GGGCCCGUAGCUCAACUUGGACAGAGCGGCAGACUUCUAAUCUGAUGGUUGGGGGUUCAAAUCCCUUCGGGCCCA
Molecule: transfer RNA, 75 nt
Filed under: Candidatus Parvarchaeota archaeon
Lineage: Archaea; Nanobdellati; Candidatus Parvarchaeota
Also listed under: 2 other names
Description: tRNA-Arg
Rfam family: tRNA
About the family: Transfer RNA (tRNA) molecules are approximately 80 nucleotides in length. Their secondary structure includes four short double-helical elements and three loops (D, anti-codon, and T loops).
Source: RNAcentral